UACAGAGGGGGCAAGCGUUGUUCGGAAUUACUGGGCGUAAAGGGCGCGUAGGCGGCCUGUUAAGUCGAACGUGAAAUCCCCGGGCUCAACCCGGGAACUGCGUCCGAUACUGGCAGGCUUGAAUUCGGGAGAGGGAUGUGGAAUUCCAGGCGUAGCGGUGAAAUGCGUAGAUAUCUGGAGGAACACCGGUGGCGAAGGCGGCAUCCUGGACCGAUAUUGACGCUGAUGCGCGAAAGCCAGGGGAGCAAACGGG
Molecule: ribosomal RNA, 253 nt
Filed under: uncultured bacterium
Lineage: Bacteria
Description: partial 16S ribosomal RNA
Rfam family: Bacterial small subunit ribosomal RNA
Source: RNAcentral